RNAcentral lists this long non-coding RNA (3843 nucleotides) under Homo sapiens (human). Its description in RNAcentral is "HSALNT0061753". Lineage: Eukaryota; Metazoa; Chordata; Mammalia; Primates; Hominidae. The record is from RNAcentral.
UUAUAUGACCAAGUUAUUUGUAAAUGCUUAUUUCUAAUCCUCCUAAGAUACAUUUAAAUUUCAAGUAUAAUUUCAAUGUCAGUAUAUCAUGAAGGAAAAUUGCUAGAAUUUGUAACCAUCAGUGAAGAAUGCAUUUUAAACAUUUUUUCUAAAUGACCAUUUUUUCCAGAAAUUAUACAAAAAUCAGGUUACAAGACUUAUUUUUUCUGACCAACUAGAUAUUAAAUCAAAUUCAGGUAUAGAAUAAUCAGAGUGAUUCUAGAGUAUGGUAUAUUGAUCCUGUUGGAGCAGCUGGCUGCUUUUCAGUCUUUUUUUCCCCCAGUGUUCAAGGUCGGAUUUAAUUUAUAUUGAAAGAAGCAAGCUUGGAAAACCCAUAAGAAGUCUGGAUUUAAUAAACUAAUAUCAAACUCAUCUGUUUGGCUAGUGAUAGCUAAUGUUAAAAAUGGAUCUUUUUCCAUAACUUCACAGAAUGCAUUUCCCAUUUUCCUCUAGGCCUCUUAAAUUGUAAAUCUCAAAAAAGAGAAAAGCAGAGUGAUACACUCCAAAUCAGUCCAAGUGAGGCAGAAUAAUAUACUAUGUGAUAAUACUUGGCAUGGUUAAUAAUAGCACAUGGUAGGUAUUUACUCAGUGUCUGCUAAAUGAAUUAAAAUAUAGUAAGUAGAUAUAUAUUUGAAAUAUUUGCUAUAGUUGUCAGUAAAACUUCUUGUCAUCCUUACCACUAUUUCAUUCCAUCAAUACUUUACUGAACAUUUACUAAAUUCAGACACUGAGCUAUUUCUUAAGGCAGAGAGAAAUACAAAGGUUAAAAUAUAUAAUUAAUACUCUCAGGGGCUCACAGGCUAGUGGGCAAGAUAGACUUUUAACUUCUUUUUUUUUUUUAGACAAAAUCUAGCUCUUGUCCCCCAGGCUGGAGUGCAAUGGUGCAAUCUCAGCUCACUGCAACCUCCGCCUCCCGAGUUCAAGCGAUUCUCCUGCCUCAGCCUCCUGAGUAGCUGGUAUUACAAGGGCCCGCCCCACGCCCGGCUAAUUUUUGUAUUUUUAGUACAGACAGGGUUUCACCAUGUUGGCCAGGCUGGUCUUGAACUCCUGACCUCAGGUGGUCUGCCCACUUCAGCCUCCCAAAGUGUUGGGAUUACAGGCGUGAGCCACCGCACCGGGCCAGGAUAGACUUUAAAACAAACAAAACACACAUUUUUUAGGACAACAAUGAACACAUACUCAGUGGAAUGUUGGCACACUCAAUAAAGGCCAUGUCAUUAGCACCAUCUCAAGUGCUGCAUAAUAUAUUUUUGUCCCAUUUAAUGAGACAGUUAAGGCAGGCUGUGCCAUAUGUCCAGCGGAACUUCCUGUUCCUGCUGGAGGUAAGUAAGAUGCACUUUAUAGCUAUGUCUGCAAGCUGAAUGCAUGGUGGGUGUAACUGAAAAUGUCAGUCUUUCUAAUUUCAUCAAGCAAAGCAGGGAUCGAUUGCUUAUUAUGGUAAACCAUGAGUACAGGGCAGUGUCUGGUAUAUCUAAGAUGCUCAAUAAAUAUUGGUGAAUGAAUGAAAAAAAUUCAAAUAUGUGUAUGACACGGUGCUAGGUGUUCAAGAAGAUAGAAAGGAACAUGCAGUCUAUCCCUCAGCAAGGAUAAAGCAAGUAGAUAAAUAAUUGUAGCACAAAGCUAAGUAAUUAUUACAUAAAAUAGUGUUUUUUUUUUUAAAUGUGUAUUACUGGAUUCUCACAACUGUAUCAUGAGGUAAACAUCAAUCUCAUUUUUCAGAGGAAGAGUAAACCUCAUCAAGAGGUGAUAGUACCAAGAAGAUGAAAUGCUAUAAGGAGUCCCUGCUAUAAUUGUAAUGAAAGAAAACCAAAGGGUUGGAUAAAAGAAAGUUACUGGAGGAUGUGUUCCACCAAAACAAUGGAAUGAAUCACAGGAAUGAGGAUCUAAUAAAGGAGAGAAGUUAAGGGAUUCCAAUGAUUACAAUGAUGAGAAAUCCCAUGGGAAUUUCAGCUCCAUCAAUCCAGGUAGGAGAAGGAUGAAGGUUUCCUCUAAGAGAGUCAUCUCCAAGACAAAAGACAAAGAAAUUGCUGGAUGUGACUGACCCCAUUGGUUGAAGUUUUACAGCUUAUCCCAAAGAAUUAAAAUGUAGUGGUGGCACAUAGAAAACUAAGCAACUGAAUAAAGAAUUUAAUGAUAGUUUAGUACACAGUAAAUAAAUUUAAAAGGCAAUUAUUAAUUCCAGGAAAAGCAGAAAACAUACAAGAAAGGAAACUGAAUUAUGGUAGAUUACUUAGCUUAACAAUAAAUAUUAUUUAUACAACCACAAUCAUGCAAACACUAUUAAUCUAACUAAAAUUGUGACACACAUGCAGAGGAUUGGCGAUGGUAUGUUUGUGAGUGUGAAUGUGUGUAUGUAUGUGUGUGUGUGUUGGGGGGGGGAGAGAGACAGAGAGAGAGAGAUAGAGAAACAGAAAGACAGAGAGAGAAAAGAGACUUCUGCCAAUCUACCAUCUUCCUUGGUAGGCAGUCAACUAAUAGGUAAUGGACUAUGUUGGUUACCCAACCAUUCAUAAUUCUUGCUCAUGGGGCCUAAAUUUUGUUUAAGUUUCCAAAUCAAACUGUCUCCUGUGUGAUUCAGAGAGAGCUGACAUCAUCUACAGCUCUAGGGAUAGAUAUGAAGCUAAACAUGAAUGGCAAUCAUUUUCCUCUGGCACGAUUGGUUUAAAAAUGGCCACAUGACCUAAUUCUGGCCAGUGACACAAGGGGAUGUCUUCUAGGCAGUUUCUGGGUAAAGACAGAAAUAUCAGCACUUCUUUUUCUUUUUCUGGGUAACUUCCUGUCAACAUAAUGCCCAGGACUUCUGCAAACAUGUUGUUACCAGUACAAGAACCAUAGGAGGGCAGGCCAAUAACAUCAGAGAGAAAGAGAGGCAGAGACCUAAUAGACUGUGCCUGGGGACUUCCCUGUCUCUGGACAACUUCAUAUGUGCAAUAAUAAGUUUUAUUUAAUUUCAGCCAAAUCAAGAGGCUAAGAAACAGCCCAGGGUUUCAUAGAUGAUAAGUGGCAAAAUCAGGAUUGGAACCCAGAUUGGCCUGAGUCAAAGACUUGAGGUCAACAUAAUUUCAUACUGUCAUUGUUGAGCAGUCUUUAAAGCAUCCUCUUAAAAAUGGAAAUCAAAUUUGUGAUAGAGAAAGAAAUUAGUGCGUGUGAAAGUGAGGGGAUGUGCCCUAUUGUCAACAAUAAAGACUACAAAUAAACUCUAGUAACUUACCUUCUAUUGUUUUAUUCUCACAAUAAAAGUGGUAUUUUUGGUUUUAGGUGGCUGCAAUGUCAAAAUUGAUUAGUUUCUUGACUAUGAAAUAAUUAUGUAACUUUAAUUACUUAAUUAUAGACCAUUGUCAAAUACACCUUAGCGAUAUCAACAACAAAUGACAACAAACUAUUACCUUAAAAAGAUAAUUCAAAUUAUUAUUUUAUCUGGGACACUAUAAUAUAUUCAAAAUAAUCCAGUUUCCCAAAUUCAGAAAAUUUAUUUUUUCUUUAAUAUGUUUUAAUUUUGAUAUAUUACAGACUAAAUCAAGUUAUAACAAUUUAAUUUAUUAUUUAGCAGAGUGAUUUGCUUUUGUAUGUAGGUAUUCAAAGAGAAAGCAGGAUCUAAUUCAUUUUGAAAGCUGAAAGACAAAGAGCAGUGUCUGGAAUGUGGUCCCUGCACUAAAACUAUUUGUUGAAUGAAAAACUGUGCAUCUACUUUAAGAAAAUCAUAAGUGGAAUAAAGAUAAAAUGAGAUUUUUGACUUUUGGGAUUGAUUUUGGCCAAAUUUGCUGUGUGGCUACUAAUUGUAUCAUUUAUUUAUUUUGAUUUAGG